This 253-nucleotide ribosomal RNA is filed under the name uncultured bacterium. RNAcentral describes it as "partial 16S ribosomal RNA". It matches the Rfam family "Bacterial small subunit ribosomal RNA", at positions 524 to 776 of the family's 1533-position model. The record is from RNAcentral.
UACAGAGGGUGCGAGCGUUAAUCGGAAUUACUGGGCGUAAAGCGCGCGUAGGCGGCUUUGCAAGUCGGGUGUGAAAUCCCCAGGCUUAACCUGGGAACUGCAUUCGAGACUGCAUUGCUAGAGUAUGGGAGAGGGAAGUGGAAUUUCCGGUGUAGCGGUGAAAUGCGUAGAUAUCGGAAGGAACAUCAGUGGCGAAGGCAGCUCGCUGGGACGUUACUGACGCUGAGACGCGAAAGCGUGGGGAGCAAACAGG